UUCAUCAUAACGACAUAUAUAAUUUAUGGCCCCCAGGGAGGGGGGGCCUGUGACUUUCCCAACUGCGAUAAUAACAUGUGCCGUUAUUAUUUUGUUGGUGCAGAAAACCGGAAUUUAAUCUAGCAGUUGUCGACUAUGUCAAAUCUGACAUGGAGUCAGAAUGCCACAAUCGUAUACUGCACAUUGCACAAGCAAAAGAGAAAAAGACGAGAGAUA
Molecule: long non-coding RNA, 216 nt
Organism: Daphnia pulicaria
Lineage: Eukaryota; Metazoa; Arthropoda; Branchiopoda; Diplostraca; Daphniidae
Exons: 3
Source: RefSeq, a predicted model, not a curated record